Molecule: long non-coding RNA, 8144 nt
Organism: Vigna unguiculata (cowpea)
Lineage: Eukaryota; Viridiplantae; Streptophyta; Magnoliopsida; Fabales; Fabaceae
Source: RefSeq, a predicted model, not a curated record
ACUGCGUUCGUGGCUAUUCCAGUGCCAAAUUUCUUUCUCGCGUUUUCUGUCUGACGUGGUUUCCUUUUUGAUCAAAGUUUUGUCGGGUUUUAGGAUCCAUCAAACUUGUGGUUUCCUUUUUGAUCAAAGUUUUGUCGGGUUUUGCGAAUUUACGAUCCAUCAAAAUUGUGGUUCCCUUCUUGAUCAAAGUUUUGUCGGAGUUUUGCGAAUUUACGAUCGAGAGAUUGUGGUUCCUAUGAUCAAAGUUUUGUCGGGUUUUGCGAUCGAUCAAGAUUGUGGUUCCCUCCUUGAUUAAAGUUUAGUCGGGGUUCUGCGAAUUUACGAUCGAUCAAUAUUGUGGUUCCCUUCUUGAUCAAAGUUUGAUCAAAGUUUUGUCAGGAUUUUGCGAAUUUAUGAUCGAUCAAGAUUGUGGUUCCCUUCUUGAUCAAAGUUUUGUCGGGAUUUUGCGAAUUUACGAUCGAUCAAGAUUGUGGUUCCCUUCUGGGGUUUUGCGAUCGAUCAAGAUUGUGGUUCCCUUCUUGAUCAAAGUUUUACCGAGGUUUUGUGAAUUUACGAUAAAUUAAGAUCGUGGUUCCCUUCUUGAUCAAAAGUUUUGCUGGUCUGUAUUUGUGACUUUAAAUAUUGUGAUCAUCGAGCCUGUUAUCCUGUUAUCGGAAUUUUUCCAAUGGUUUCUUAAUUCUUGAUUUUGUUUAUCCAUCUUAUUGUCUAGUUCCUUCAUUUUCUACUCAGAUUGAUUAUAUUUUUCUUGAAUUCAUGGGUUUUUCAGAGAAACUAAGAAAUAAAAUGGGUGCAAGGUGUGCAAAGAGUGGGUGAUUGUCAGAUUUUGGAAACUGUGGAUGGAGAUCCGGUGAAACCUUAGGUCUCAUUAUCUUUGCAUUCAUUAUUUUCUUUGUUGUUGUUCUUGAUAUAAACUUGGGGAGAGGGAUAUGUUAUAAAUAUGAACUAUAUGAGUGAGAGACUUUGACAUGUGUGUUCUUCCGCUGUUCACUUAUUUUAUGUUGAUUGUCUUCUUCUAGUCGUGUUGCAGCAAUGAGGAUGUCUGUUGGAUCUUGGAGGCAAAAGCUAGAAGACUUACUGUGAAUGUAUGUCGGGUCAUUGACACUAUGACGGCAGAUUAUUGGACUUAAUGGGUUACCUUGUUUCUUAUAAAUCCAAGAGUUGGUUGAAACGAUUGCAUUCAUCCCCUUUUAGCAUACGCUACUUAGCCUUUAAGAUUUCUUUUGCUGAUUGCGUAUCAAAAAUCUUCAGUUAGGAAUGGUUUACGACAUGGAACCUAAUAUCUGAGUUUGCUCUCUAUAUUAUUUCUCUACAUUGGUAUUUUGGAUUUGUUUCUUGUACUGUUAGCCUAUAUUUAGCAAUUAUGUCUCCCUUGGUUUUUGAAUUACCGAACUGCAUGACUUUUAAGCAUGUGAGGAUUGAACAACAAAGUGUUAGGAAUGGCUAUGAACUCGUAAUAACCUAAUUUCUUAGCUUUUGAAAUGUCGGCAUUUGAUCACAAACAUUGGCAUUCAACUACCAUUUGUUUCUCUACAGAGGUGUUUCUAUUAUGCAAUUGAAGUGGGGUUUGUUGUUGAAGAACUGGUCAUCUUCUGUUUUUACUUUUCCUUGGUCUACGAUGAGCUCAUUUCACCUUUUUUUGUGCUUGGUUUGGUUCUCACAGUGAACUCAAGUGUGGUCGUUUGUGGAAGAAAUUAGCUAUCCUAUAAAAUGGUUUGGUGAUUUUGUAUUGAUUUGGGUGAAGUAAAUGGUGUGGUCAUUCAAUUGAUAUGGUCAGAUUUUAUUGUUAAAGAGAGUUUAGUACGACUCGCAUUCUUAUUCUUGCAUAUUAUUUGCACUCUUCGGUACUCCAAGAUCACAGCUCUAUUUACUUCCUUGAGGUUGGGGUCUCACAAUUUGUGAUAGGAUGUGGGAACCAGAUGCUAUCUUGUUGCAGACUAUUUUACUCAAUCUUAGUCCCUUGCUGAUUAUGUUGAAUCUGAAAACUUUUGCUAAUACAUGUGUGGGCACAGGUUUUGGAAGCUGUGAAUGAAGAUCCAGGCAAACUUUAGGUUUUAAAUUAUCUUUGUGUUCAUUAUUUUCUCUGAAGUUAUUCUUCUGUCUACUUUGGUGAAGUGGUGACAGGCACUAUAUGAGUACAAGAGGCAUUGGCAUUUGUAUUUUUUGGCCUUUAACUCGUUUUCAGUGAUGACUAGACUUCAAUAGAGGUAGAUUUUGGUUUGGAACAACUAAUCUCUCUUAAUGGUUGAAUAGUGGGAAGGUGUAUGAUUGUGUGUCUCGUAUUGUUGCGUUUCCAUUCACUAAUUUUCUUAUGCGCUUGAUCUGGAAUGGUUGUAGCCUCUCUUAUUGGUUGUAGGAAGGUACUUGAUCUCUAAACAUUAUGAUCAUCAAGCACAAUGAAGUGUGGUGUAGAUGUGCAAAUUAUGCGUCGAAGUUCUGUGAUAUGUGAAGCUAAAGGUUUUAUUUACCAUCACUUUGCUGUGCUCUUCUGAUUCAAUUUUUACCUUGCCAAUCUUGUUAGUUUGAUUCUGAUCUCGGUUGUGUUGAUGGUGGUAUGUCGACAGUGUGGGAGUUGGUCACGGGCACCUCAAACUGACAUUUGAGGAGGAUUUGUUUGCUAUGUUUUUUUGAAUGGAAUUGUGGGAUGAGUAUUAUUGACAAGUUUUGUUGGGCUUAUGUUGAUAAAGAUAUUUGUUCCAAAAUCGAAAAGAGCGAUUCGGCAAAAAAAGAGAGUAUUUACUUGUUUUCUUGGUAUAUAUUUGUACAUAUGAUUUCGCUUGAUAAUCCAAUGAAUCUCUAUUGUUUGACCAAAAGACUUUUUUGAUGGAGCAAUGUCAAGUAUAUGUAGAACCCCGUAGAUCUCGUUUGAUUUGAUGGUUUCCUCAAUUCUCAAUUGUUUUGGCAGAAGUUCUGAGAAGAGUCAGAAGUCUUAUGGGUUUUUUGAAUUAGUGUACGUACUAGUUUGAAAUAUGUGCUGCGAUUGGGGUUUGCUAAACAUCACAGCCCCUUUUGGGUUGUGUUCUCACUAUUUGUGAUAGGAUGUUGAGGCAGCUGCUAUCUUUUGUUGGCUAUAUUGAUCAAUCUUAGUCCCUUACUGGUUUUUUUCAAUCUCAAAAUCUUUUUAUUUUGCUAGUUGAUAUGUGUGCGACGGAUUUUGGAAGCAGUGGAUGUAGUUCCAGAGAAACUUUAGGUUCUAUUAUCUUUUCAUUCAUUAUUUUCUUUUUGCGUGCAAUGACGGGAGAUUAUUGUUUGGAAUGACACAGAAGUCUCUCAUUGGUUGUAGUCUCUCUCCUUUUAUUACGUUUCCAUUCACUAUUGUUCUUAUGUGGUCUAUUUGGAAUGGCUGUAGUCUCUCGAAUUGGUUGUCGGAAGGUACAUGUAUCAAUCAGGAGCAAUACUGUUAUGGUGUCAGGAGCAAUACUGUUAUGGUAUAGACGUGCAAAUGGUGCUUGGAAAUUAUGUGGACUGUGAGGCUAAUGGUUUUUAUUUACCGGUACAGUGUUUUCUGGAUUAAUUUUUAACUGGCUAAACUUUGUCUGUUUGAUUCUGAUCUUGGUUGUAACUUUCAAUACAAGAGUACUGUUACAAACUGACAUCUGAGGUGGGUUUGUCUGCUACAUUUUUGUGUUCUGGGUUUACAAAAGGCAUUGUGGGAUGAGCGUGGUUGACAAGUUCUGUUAGGCUUUACUCUUUGAUUUGAUGGUAUGCUCAAAUCCUUUCCAUUCAUUGUUUUCAUUAUUGUUGGAUUUUAGAUAGGAAUUGAUGUAUUUCUAUGCAUACCUAAUACUGGAGUUUCGGAGAAGAAUUUGUUAUUUUCAGGAUAAGUUUCUUGAAAUGGUAUGACAAAUUAAGUCGACUAACAAAUUUAGAUAACAUAAUUCUUUGUUUGAAUUUAUUUUCAGCACACACCAAGGAGUCUGACACUUCUCUUUCUUUUUUAUUAGAACGGUUUAAAACAGCACCUGAUGACCGGUCUUAGCUUGUUAUUUAGAGUGACUAAGGCUACCUUGGUUUUAUGGGAUCAUCUUCCUUGAGUUUUGAUUUAGUUGGUUGGUAAGCCGGGCAGUAUCAGAUUUCCUUGUUUUCUUACGAAGAAUAAUGUUUCUGGAGUUGGAUAUAAUGAAACAACGUAUGUAAUGUUUUGUUGUACAAGUUUGAAAUAUGUGAUGUGCUUGUGAGACAUUUUCAAUGUAUGUAAUGUAUUUUAAUAGGUAGUUUUAUUCUUGCUUUAAAUUACGUUGGUGUUAUGUUAAUAUGAUCUUUUUGAUUAUAACAAUUGUCGUCUAUAAAAUUUUGAUUGAUGGAUUGCUUUUAAUAGUUAUUACACUGAAGAUCCUUGUCGAUGAUUCUCAUUAUUGUAAUAAUUCUAUGGCAUUUUUUUUCGUAGUCAUUUUCAAAGAUGUAUUUUACAGUUAGUUCUGCAAUAGUUCUUUUCUUAUGGACUCUGCUUUAUUUUUUAUUCAAUUUUUUUCAAAUUAUUUUUUCGUUUGUGAUUUGUAAUAGAUGCUUAGGGUGUCACAAAUAUGUUUUUCAUUUUUACAUUGUCUAGGUUGUUUGAUCAAUCAUUUUGUUUAUUAAAAUUCAAAAUUAAUUAUUAAAGUAUCGUUGUCUUCUGCAACAUCUCCUAGGCUCAUUGUGACAAUUUUUCUCAGCGUACAGCUUCAUGACACGCGUCCUUCAUCCACGCUUUGCGCUUUCUGAACGGUUGAGAUUCAACUUUGGUUAUUAUUCUCUCUCAUUUUCAAAUAUUCUCUAAAAUGUUUCUUCUUCGCUUCUCUGUUUUUUGCAAUCCUCUUUAGAUUUUUGCUCCUUUCAUCUUCUUCCCUGCCCUUUCCUUGCUGUCAUUUUUGUCCAGGUGCGCUUCUUUUUUUCUUGGUCUUGUAUUCUGCAUUUCCUUGUCUUUGCCGUAUUUGUAUGCUCUUUCAACUGUUUAUUUUGGAUGAGUGUAUAUACAUCUUUUCUCAUUUUACUGCUGAUUCCCUGCAUUCAUUUCAUGGUAUGAUAGCAUAAUUUUUGACUUUAUAUGUUUGCAUUAUACUAGUACUGAUUCUAUUUCACGUUUUUUUUCCAUAUAAAUUUCUAGGGUUGUAAAAUAUUUAUUGCUUAGUUUCAGACUUGACGUGCGUUUGGUCUUUGUGAUUGUACAGAAUCAAUUUAACUUUUAACACGAUCGAUGAUUUUGAACUGUAUGGUGUGCUUGCGGGAUUGAACUAUACGGUCUUUAAGGAUCGAUAAAUGUACUUUUGUUGGUUUGAAUUAUAUGGUGUUUAAAGAUUGAUCGAUGUGGACUUGUCGGAUUGAAUUAUAUGGUGUGCUUUUUGUUGGAUUGAAUUAUAUGGUGUUUAACUAUGCUUUUGUCGGAGUGAAUAGUGUUGGAUUGAAUUAUAUGGUGUUUAACUAUUAAUCGAUGUGCUUUUGUCGGAUUGAAUAGUGUUGGAUUGAAUUAUAUGGUGUUUAACUAUCAAUCGAUGGGCCAAGAGAGACUAUCAGUUGUCUUAUCGCAAGAAUUUCCAUUAGAUCGUGGAGGCAGGUGUAUAUUAUUUUUCUUACAAGAAUGUUUUAUGUUUUAUUGAGUUUCCAUUUACUAUUUUUCUUACGUGCUCAAGGUAGUCUCUCUUAUUGUUUGUAAGAAGGUACAUUUUUCAGUGAUGGUGAUUGUCUAUGGAAGGGAAAUACUUAAUCGGUGAAUCAUCCAGACUGUUAUGAGACUUCUCUAUUGGUUUUUCAAUUAUUGUAUUUGUUUAUUCAUCUUAUCUUCUAGGUCUUUCAACUUCUUCCCAGAUUGGUUUUAGUCUUCUUGAAUUCACGAGCUUUGCAGGGAAACUAAGAAUUGAAGGGGGUGCAGGGUGUGCAAAUGGAGGGUGGAAAUUCUGUGAUCUUUGUAUCUGGCUUUGAUCUUUGUAUCUCAAUGUUUUAUUACCAGUUCACGGAUGUGUAUUCUGAUUUAUUUUCUUAAUGGGUGGACUUGUUUUGUAUGAUAUCAUCAUGCUUCUAUUGAUGGUUUAUGGUUCAAAAGAGGCACUUAGAAUGAGCAUUUGGGACAAGUGCGGUUGGAAUUUACUCUCUGGUUUGUUGGUAUGGUUUUCUUCUUGCUUUGAAAAGUUUUACUCAAUUUUGACGCCUUCUCUGGAUAACUUCUUGUAAUUGAGAUCUUGGACUCUUUUAAUAAUUUUUCAAGACCUCUGUAUUUGUUUGAAUUGGUCUGGUAAUGAUGUGUUUCUUACAAUAGUAAUAAUGGAGUUUUGGAGAAUUUGUUUAUUUCAGUUGAGUUGGAAAACCUUUUUCUUCGAGAAAUGUUAUAAUGGGCAUUUUACCAUUGGUUUCUUAAUUCUUCAUUUGGUUUAUCCAUCUUAAUCUCUAGGUCCUGCAUCUUCCAUCCAUAUUGAUUUUAUUUUUCUUGAAUUCAUGGGUUUUUCACGGAAUGGAGAUGGGGUUAAACCUUAGGUCUCAUUAUCUUUGCAUUCAUUAUUUUCUUUGUCGGUGUUCUUGAUAUAAACUUGUGGAGUGGGAUAUGUUAUAAAUAUGUACUAUAUGAGUGAAAGGCUUUGACAUGUGUGUUGUUAGACUGUUGACUUAUUUUAUGUUGAUUGUCUUCUAGUCGUGUUGCAGCAAUGAGGAUGAGGAUGUUAUAAAUAUGGAGGUGGGUGAAACCUUAGGUCUCAUUAUCUUUGCAUUUAUUAUUUUCUUUGUCGUUGUUCUUGAUAUAAACUUGUUGAGUGAGAUAUGUUAUAAAUACGCCUUAUAUAAGUGAGAGGCUUUGACACGUGUUCGACUGUUGACUCUGUUUAUGUUGAUUGUCUUCUAGUCGUGUUGCAGCAAUGAGGAUGUAUGUUGGUUCAUGGAGGCAAAAGCUGUAAAUUUUUGAACUUGCUACAAAUCUUUAUGUUUUAUUACGUUUCCAUUUAUUAUCAUUCUUGUGAGCUCGAGUUCGAAUCGCAUAACAUCAUGAUCAUCAAGCCUGUUAAGGAAAUUUCUCUAUUGAUUUUUCUAAUUCUUGAAUUUGUUUCUUCAACUUAUCGUCUAUGUCCUUCCUUUUCUACCCUGAUUGCUUUAAGUUUUUUAAAUUUGUGGGCUUUACGUUUCUUAAAUUCGUGGGCUUUGGGCUUUACAGGAAAAUUAAGAAAUGAAGUGGGUGCAGGGUGUGCAAAUGGUGGGUGGUGUGAUUUGGAUCGGGAUCCCGUUUGCUUUCACUGUUUUCAUUGCUGUUUUUCAUCAUGUUAACCUCAGGAGUGGAAGAUCUUGUAACUAUAAACCUUGUUGAUUUUAAUUAUCAUUUUUUACACGUGUUGCUGCGAAGAGGAUGUCUAUUGGGUCAUUGGGUCGUUAUAGGCUUCGACAUUUGUGUCGUUCUAGACUUGACUUUGUUGAUUUUAGUGAUUUUUUUUUCACAGUUGACUUUGUUGAUUUUAAUUAUCAUUUUCUACACGUGUUGCUGCGAAGAGGGUGUCUAUUGGGUCAUGAAGCGAAUAGCUGUUGAUUAGGAUAUUUCCAAGUAGUAGUUUGAAAUAUGUUGUGAUUGGGGUUUACACAACAUCACAUCGCCUUUCUGGUUGGGUUCUCUCUAUUUGUGAUAGGAUGUGGAGGCUGGCUAUAUUGAUCAAUCUUAGUCCCUUACCGGUUUUGUUCAAUCUCAAAAGAUUUUUAUUUUGCUAGUUGAUAUGUGGGGGAAGGAUUUUGGAAGGAAUGGAUGGAGAUCAGGGAAACUUUUGGUUCUAUUAUCUUUUCGUUCAUUAUUUUCUUUUUUGAGUGGGAGUUCUUGGAAACAUGCACUGUAUGAGUAUGAACGAUUUUGACAUUUCAAAAGUUGUGCCUUUGACUCAUUUGCAUUUCAAAAGUUAUGCCUUUGAAUCGUUUUGCAGCGAAGAGUUGCUUGUUAUGGAUGUCUGUUGUGGAGGCAACGGCGGGAGAUUAUUGUUUGGAAUGACAGUAGUCACUCAUUGGUUGUAGUCUCUCUCCUUUUAUUACAUUUGCAUUCACUAUUGUUCUUAUGUGGUUGAUUUGAAAUGGCUGUAGUCUCUGGAAUUGGUUAUCGGAAGGUACAUGUAUCAGUCAGGAGCAAUACUAUUAUGACCGAUCUUAGCUUGUUAUUUAGAGUGACUAAAGGCUACUUUGGUUUUAUGGGAUCGUCUUCCGUGAGUUUUGAUUUA